GCUUGUCCAAAAUUAAUUGGGAGAUUUAGAGAGAACUGAAGAAAAUGUCAAGAUGAAUGUUUUCAGUACUUUCACUGAGCUCUUGCAGCAAACUGGAAAUGUCACAAAGCGCCAGGUUGACAUCAAUGAACAUAGAUUGACUAUGAGAAAAGUGGUCGAGGUUGGAACAAGAUGAUGCGGGCUUCUCCAGAUGAUUGGACAAGAAAUUUAGCAACCAUUGUGCAGUAAUCUCCUUAUUCAAGUGAAGAUCUUCUUCAGCAAGUAAUUAGCUUUCUUAG
Molecule: long non-coding RNA, 278 nt
Organism: Rosa chinensis
Lineage: Eukaryota; Viridiplantae; Streptophyta; Magnoliopsida; Rosales; Rosaceae
Exons: 3
Source: RefSeq, a predicted model, not a curated record